GGGCUGUCGGUGUCACGCCCCCCUCGGUGCAACGAGGAGCAUCUGCGGCAGCUCAGGGAGCGAUCGCAUGAAAGAUGUAGAACCUUGUUCAACCUCCUCGCCCUGCUCCUCAUCACUCGCCUGUCUCUUGGAUUACGAUUCUUGGAUUUGCCCCUUUGGAUUCUGUUCGCAACAGCGCCGGAGGAACAACAUGACAGUCGACACUUUCAUCUGUUUUCAGUCUUAUUGUUUUCAAUCAUUUCUCACAUACAGCAGCUGCCUUGCUGGAAAAACGGGACUCGGCGUGUUUAUCACAUUUCAGAAAAGUAGUUCAUAUUUUCGCUCUUUUUCCUUCUACUGACGACCUUCACGGAUGUUAUUCAUAACUCUUGUUCGAGUGAUCAAUGACUCGUGUUUAGUGUUUCGAAGGAAUGGUCUCACCAAUGGGCCACGGGGGCUCGCCGCUCCAGAGUCCCUCGGAUGUCCCGAGUCUCCAGCACUUCUGUCAUUGGCUCUGUUUUCCAGCCCCUGCACUUCUAUUGGUCUUCUCUCGCAGUAUGCAAAUGAGGUCAACGAGCAGAGAGUGGGGCAGCCCCUGUCUUGGUCUGGGACUCGUUCAUGUGGAGUUCGUGCUGCUCUGGAGCUUCUGCGGCUGGUGGGCUAGGGUUGGGGGUGGGGACGGGGAUGGUGGAGUAGUGAUUCGUUGGAGUGGAACCGUCAGCAGGAUGGGUCGGGCAAGAGUUGGAGCAGAAGAGCGGCGGCUGCACCUGCUCCACCUCACACCAAAGCAGUGUAUCUUAGUUUUCCUGUGGGACGCCAAGUACGCUUCCGAAUGACAGAUUGAGCGGCAGCAGGUGGUGCGGCGGUCAUAGUUGCCGCUUCUAGACUUGAGAGCUGGGUCUGGAUCCCACCUCCUGCUGCAGUAGCCUUGAUCAAG
Molecule: long non-coding RNA, 916 nt
Filed under: Scleropages formosus (Asian bonytongue)
Lineage: Eukaryota; Metazoa; Chordata; Actinopteri; Osteoglossiformes; Osteoglossidae
Description: lncRNA (ENSSFOG00015029395.1)
Source: RNAcentral